AGAGUUUGAUCCUGGCUCAGGAUGAACGCUGGCGGCACGUCUGACACAUGCAAGUCGAACGACAAGCCGGUGCUUGCACCGGCGGAGGAGUGGCGAACGGCUGAGUAACACGUAGGAACCUACCCCUUGGUACGGGACAACGGAUCGAAAGAACCGCUAAUACCGUAUAUAUCCUUCGGGAGGAAAGCUCCGGCGCCAGAGGAGGGGCCUGCGGCGUAUUAGCUUGUUGGUGGGGUAAUGGCUCACCAAGGCGAUGAUGCGUAGCUGGUCUGAGAGGAUGAUCAGCCAGACUGGGACUGAGACACGGCCCAGACUCCUACGGGAGGCAGCAGUUCAGAAUCUUGCACAAUGGGCGAAAGCCUGAUGCAGCGAUGCCGCGUGUGCGAAGAAGGCCCUCGGGUCGUAAAGCACUGUCAGAGGGGAAGAUAAUGACGGUACCCUCAAAGAAGCCACGCUAAUUA
This 461-nucleotide ribosomal RNA is filed under the name uncultured bacterium. RNAcentral describes it as "bacterial SSU rRNA". It matches the Rfam family "Bacterial small subunit ribosomal RNA", at positions 8 to 503 of the family's 1533-position model. The record is from RNAcentral.